AGAGUUUGAUCAUGGCUCAGGAUGAACGCUAGCGGCAGGCUUAAUACAUGCAAGUCGUGGGGCAGCGGGGGUGUAGCAAUACACUCGCUGGCGACCGGCAAACGGGUGCGGAACACGUACGCAACCUACCCAAAACUGGGGAAUAGCCCGGGGAAACCCGGAUUAAUACCUCGUAACACCAUGAAGUGGCAUCACUAUAUGGUUAUAGCUCCGGCGGUUUUGGAUGGGCGUGCGCCUGAUUAGGUAGUUGGCGGGGUAACGGCCCACCAAGCCAGCGAUCAGUAACUGGUGUGAGAGCACGACCAGUCACACGGGCACUGAGACACGGGCCCGACUCCUACGGGAGGCAGCAGUAAGGAAUAUUGGUCAAUGGACGCAAGUCUGAACCAGCCAUGCCGCGUGAAGGAUGAAGGUCCUCUGGAUUGUAAACUUCUUUUAUAUGGGACGAAACCCGGGAAUUCCUUCCCGAUUGACGGUACCAUAGGAAUAAGCACCGGCUAACUCCGUGCCAGCCGCCGCGGUAAUAC
Molecule: ribosomal RNA, 527 nt
Filed under: uncultured bacterium
Lineage: Bacteria
Description: bacterial SSU rRNA
Rfam family: Bacterial small subunit ribosomal RNA
Source: RNAcentral